UCGAGAAUCUUCCGCAAUGGGCGAAAGCCUGACGGAGCGACACCGCGUGCAGGAUGAAGGCCUUCGGGUUGUAAACUGCUGUCACGCUAUAGGAAUCCCGUAGCAAUACGGUUGACCAAAGCGAGAGGAAGCACCGGCUAACUCCGUGCCAGCAGCCGCGGUAAGACGGAGGGUGCAAACGUUGUUCGGAAUCACUGGGCAUAAAGCGCACGUAGGCGGCCCGCUAAGUCAGGUGUGAAAGCCCCCGGCUCAACCGGGGAACUGCAUUUGAUACUGGUGGGCUCGAGAACGGUAGGGGUGAGUGGAACUCCAGGUGGAGCGGUGAAAUGCGUAGAUAUCUGGAGGAACACCGGUGGCGAAAGCGGCUCACUGGACCGUCUCUGACGCUGAGGUGCGAAAGCUAGGGUAGCGAACGGGAUUAGAUACCCCCGUAGUCC
RNAcentral lists this ribosomal RNA (437 nucleotides) under uncultured prokaryote. RNAcentral describes it as "bacterial SSU rRNA". It matches the Rfam family "Bacterial small subunit ribosomal RNA", at positions 355 to 796 of the family's 1533-position model. The record is from RNAcentral.